RNAcentral lists this ribosomal RNA (261 nucleotides) under uncultured Oscillospiraceae bacterium. RNAcentral describes it as "partial 16S ribosomal RNA". It matches the Rfam family "Bacterial small subunit ribosomal RNA", at positions 78 to 339 of the family's 1533-position model. The record is from RNAcentral. Lineage: Bacteria; Bacillati; Bacillota; Clostridia; Eubacteriales; Oscillospiraceae.
AAUGGAAGCAGAGGACAGUGGCGGACGGGUGAGUAACGCGUGAGGAACCUGCCUUGGAGAAGGGGACAACAGUUGGAAACGACUGCUAAUACCGUAUAAUAUAUUUAGAUGGCAUCAUUUAGAUAUCAAAGAAUAAUCGCUCUGAGAUGGCCUCGCGUCUGAUUAGCUAGUUGGUGAGGUAACGGCCCACCAAGGCGACGAUCAGUAGCCGGACUGAGAGGUUGACCGGCCACAUUGGGACUGAGAUACGGCCCAGACUCC